AUUGAACGCUGGCGGCAUGCUUUACACAUGCAAGUCGAACGGCAGCGCGGGGGCAACCCUGGCGGCGAGUGGCGAACGGGUGAGUAAUGUAUCGGAACGUACCCAGUCGUGGGGGAUAACGUAGCGAAAGCUACGCUAAUACCGCAUACGAUCUAUGGAUGAAAGCGGGGGACCGUAAGGCCUCGUGCGAUCGGAGUGGCCGAUAUCAGAUUAGGUAGUUGGUGGGGUAAAGGGCCACCAAGCCGACGAUCUGUAGCUGGUCUGAGAGGACGACCAGCCACACUGGGACUGAGACACGGCCCAGACUCCUACGGGAGGCAGCAGUGGGGAAUUUUGGACAAUGGGCGCAAGCCUGAUCCAGCAAUGCCGCGUGCAGGAUGAAGGCCUUCGGGUUGUAAACUGCUUUUGUACGGGGCGAAAAGGCUCUCUCUAAUACAGGGGGCUCAUGACGGUACCGUAAGAAUAAGCACCGGCUAACUACGUGCCAGCAGCCGCAGUAA
This 500-nucleotide ribosomal RNA is filed under the name uncultured bacterium. RNAcentral describes it as "partial 16S ribosomal RNA". It matches the Rfam family "Bacterial small subunit ribosomal RNA", at positions 29 to 523 of the family's 1533-position model. The record is from RNAcentral.